Molecule: ribosomal RNA, 292 nt
Filed under: Salmonella enterica subsp. enterica serovar Muenchen
Lineage: Bacteria; Pseudomonadati; Pseudomonadota; Gammaproteobacteria; Enterobacterales; Enterobacteriaceae
Also listed under: 7 other names
Description: partial 23S ribosomal RNA
Rfam family: Bacterial large subunit ribosomal RNA
Source: RNAcentral
GGGUAGAGCACUGUUUCGGCUAGGGGGCCAUCCCGGCUUACCAACCCGAUGCAAACUGCGAAUACCGGAGAAUGUUAUCACGGGAGACACACGGCGGGUGCUAACGUCCGUCGUGAAGAGGGAAACAACCCAGACCGCCAGCUAAGGUCCCAAAGUCAUGGUUAAGUGGGAAACGAUGUGGGAAGGCCCAGACAGCCAGGAUGUUGGCUUAGAAGCAGCCAUCAUUUAAAGAAAGCGUAAUAGCUCACUGGUCGAGUCGGCCUGCGCGGAAGAUGUAACGGGGCUAAACCAU